CGUAGGGGCAAGCGUUAUCCGGAUUUACUGGGGUGUAAAGGGUGCGUAGGUGGCAUGGUAAGUCAGAAGUGAAAACCCGGGGCUCAACCCCGUGGAUUGCUUUUGAAACUAUCAGGCUAGAGUGCAGGAGAGGUAAGUGGAAUUCCUAGUGUAGCGGUGAAAUGCGUAGAUAUUAGGAGGAACACCAGUGGCGAAGGCGGCUUACUGGACUGCAACUGACACUGAGGCACGAAAGCGUGGGGAGCAAACAGGAUU
RNAcentral lists this ribosomal RNA (255 nucleotides) under uncultured bacterium. Its description in RNAcentral is "partial 16S ribosomal RNA". It matches the Rfam family "Bacterial small subunit ribosomal RNA", at positions 526 to 779 of the family's 1533-position model. The record is from RNAcentral.